RNAcentral lists this ribosomal RNA (2904 nucleotides) under Klebsiella pneumoniae. RNAcentral describes it as "bacterial LSU rRNA". It matches the Rfam family "Bacterial large subunit ribosomal RNA". RNAcentral also lists the same sequence under 1 other name. The record is from RNAcentral. Lineage: Bacteria; Pseudomonadati; Pseudomonadota; Gammaproteobacteria; Enterobacterales; Enterobacteriaceae.
UUAAGCGACUAAGCGUACACGGUGGAUGCCCUGGCAGUCAGAGGCGAUGAAGGACGUGCUAAUCUGCGAAAAGCGUCGGUAAGGUGAUAUGAACCGUUAUAGCCGGCGAUGUCCGAAUGGGGAAACCCAGUGCAAUUCGUUGCACUAUCGUUUGAUGAAUACAUAGUCAAACGAGGCGAACCGGGGGAACUGAAACAUCUAAGUACCCCGAGGAAAAGAAAUCAACCGAGAUUCCCCCAGUAGCGGCGAGCGAACGGGGAGCAGCCCGGAGUCUGAAUCAGCUUGUGUGUUAGUGGAAGCGUCUGGAAAGUCGCAGGGUACAGGGUGAUACUCCCGUACACUAAAACACACAGGUUGUGAACUCGAAGAGUAGGGCGGGACACGUGGUAUCCUGUCUGAAUAUGGGGGGACCAUCCUCCAAGGCUAAAUACUCCUGACUGACCGAUAGUGAACCAGUACCGUGAGGGAAAGGCGAAAAGAACCCCGGCGAGGGGAGUGAAAAAGAACCUGAAACCGUGUACGUACAAGCAGUAGGAGCCCACUUGUUGGGUGACUGCGUACCUUUUGUAUAAUGGGUCAGCGACUUAUAUUCUGUAGCAAGGUUAACCGUAUAGGGGAGCCGCAGGGAAACCGAGUCUUAACUGGGCGUUAAGUUGCAGGGUAUAGACCCGAAACCCGGUGAUCUAGCCAUGGGCAGGUUGAAGGUUGGGUAACACUAACUGGAGGACCGAACCGACUAAUGUUGAAAAAUUAGCGGAUGACUUGUGGCUGGGGGUGAAAGGCCAAUCAAACCGGGAGAUAGCUGGUUCUCCCCGAAAGCUAUUUAGGUAGCGCCUCGUGAACUCAUCUUCGGGGGUAGAGCACUGUUUCGGCUAGGGGGUCAUCCCGACUUACCAACCCGAUGCAAACUACGAAUACCGAAGAAUGUUAUCACGGGAGACACACGGCGGGUGCUAACGUCCGUCGUGAAGAGGGAAACAACCCAGACCGCCAGCUAAGGUCCCAAAGUCAUGGUUAAGUGGGAAACGAUGUGGGAAGGCCCAGACAGCCAGGAUGUUGGCUUAGAAGCAGCCAUCAUUUAAAGAAAGCGUAAUAGCUCACUGGUCGAGUCGGCCUGCGCGGAAGAUGUAACGGGGCUAAACCAUGCACCGAAGCUGCGGCAGCGACGCUUAUGCGUUGUUGGGUAGGGGAGCGUUCUGUAAGCCGUUGAAGGUGGCCUGUGAGGGUUGCUGGAGGUAUCAGAAGUGCGAAUGCUGACAUAAGUAACGAUAAUGCGGGUGAAAAACCCGCACGCCGGAAGACCAAGGGGUUCCUGUCCAACGUUAAUCGGGGCAGGGUGAGUCGACCCCUAAGGCGAGGCCGAAAGGCGUAGUCGAUGGGAAACAGGUUAAUAUUCCUGUACUCGGUGUUACUGCGAAGGGGGGACGGAGAAGGCUAUGUUGGCCGGGCGACGGUUGUCCCGGUUUAAGCAUGUAGGCGGAUGUUCCAGGUAAAUCCGGAACGUCACUAACGCUGAGGUGUGAUGACGAGGCACUACGGUGCUGAAGUGACAAAUGCCCUGCUUCCAGGAAAAGCCUCUAAGCAUCAGGUAACAUCAAAUCGUACCCCAAACCGACACAGGUGGUCAGGUAGAGAAUACCAAGGCGCUUGAGAGAACUCGGGUGAAGGAACUAGGCAAAAUGGUGCCGUAACUUCGGGAGAAGGCACGCUGAUGGUAGGUGAAGCGACUUGCUCGUGGAGCUGAAAUCAGUCGAAGAUACCAGCUGGCUGCAACUGUUUAUUAAAAACACAGCACUGUGCAAACACGAAAGUGGACGUAUACGGUGUGACGCCUGCCCGGUGCCGGAAGGUUAAUUGAUGGGGUUAUCCGUAAGGAGAAGCUCUUGAUCGAAGCCCCGGUAAACGGCGGCCGUAACUAUAACGGUCCUAAGGUAGCGAAAUUCCUUGUCGGGUAAGUUCCGACCUGCACGAAUGGCGUAAUGAUGGCCAGGCUGUCUCCACCCGAGACUCAGUGAAAUUGAACUCGCUGUGAAGAUGCAGUGUACCCGCGGCAAGACGGAAAGACCCCGUGAACCUUUACUAUAGCUUGACACUGAACACUGGUCCUUGAUGUGUAGGAUAGGUGGGAGGCUUUGAAGUGUGGACGCCAGUCUGCAUGGAGCCAUCCUUGAAAUACCACCUUUAAUGGCUGGUGUUCUAACGUGGGCCCCUGAUCGGGGUUGCGGACAGUGUCUGGUGGGUAGUUUGACUGGGGCGGUCUCCUCCUAAAGAGUAACGGAGGAGCACGAAGGUCAGCUAAUCCUGGUCGGACAUCAGGAGGUUAGUGCAAUGGCAUAAGCUGGCUUGACUGCGAGCGUGACGGCGCGAGCAGGUGCGAAAGCAGGUCAUAGUGAUCCGGUGGUUCUGAAUGGAAGGGCCAUCGCUCAACGGAUAAAAGGUACUCCGGGGAUAACAGGCUGAUACCGCCCAAGAGUUCAUAUCGACGGCGGUGUUUGGCACCUCGAUGUCGGCUCAUCACAUCCUGGGGCUGAAGUAGGUCCCAAGGGUAUGGCUGUUCGCCAUUUAAAGUGGUACGCGAGCUGGGUUUAGAACGUCGUGAGACAGUUCGGUCCCUAUCUGCCGUGGGCGCUGGAGAAUUGAGGGGGGCUGCUCCUAGUACGAGAGGACCGGAGUGGACGCAUCACUGGUGUUCGGGUUGUCAUGCAAUGGCAUUGCCCGGUAGCUAAAUGCGGAAGAGAUAAGUGCUGAAAGCAUCUAAGCACGAAACUUGCCCCGAGAUGAGUUCUCCCUGACUCCUUGAGAGUCCUGAAGGAACGUUGAAGACGACGACGUUGAUAGGCCGGGUGUGUAAGCGCAGCGAUGCGUUGAGCUAACCGGUACUAAUGAACCGUGAGGCUUAACCUU